CAGUCGCCGCGGUAAUACGUAGGUGGCAAGCGUUGUCCGGAUUUACUGGGCGUAAAGGGCGUGUAGGCGGCCUGGGGCGUCCCAUGUGAAAGGCCACGGCUCAACCGUGGAGGAGCGUGGGAUACGCUCAGGCUAGAGGGUGGGAGAGGGUGGUGGAAUUCCCGGAGUAGCGGUGAAAUGCGCAGAUACCGGGAGGAACGCCGAUGGCGAAGGCAGCCACCUGGUCCACUUCUGACGCUGAGGCGCGAAAGCGUGGGGAGCAAACCGGAUUAGAUACCCGCGUAGUCCCUGUCUCUUAUAC
RNAcentral lists this ribosomal RNA (301 nucleotides) under uncultured bacterium. RNAcentral describes it as "partial 16S ribosomal RNA". It matches the Rfam family "Bacterial small subunit ribosomal RNA", at positions 509 to 807 of the family's 1533-position model. The record is from RNAcentral.